UCAUAAACAUUUUCCUUUUUCUUUGGUGGUGGGGGUUACAGUAAUAUAUCAUAAACAUUAGGAAGACUAUUUUGAUAAAAUUAGUUUCCAUGGGUUUUAAAAUUGCUAUCUGCUUGAACUGCAAUAUCUAAGAAAAUCACUAUUUGGGAAGCAAAAUUUAAAACUGUUUUUCAGGUUAGUAAACUAUGAUACCUUUUGCUGCAAGGCUCCGGAGGAUAGAUAACGAGGUCAG
This 232-nucleotide long non-coding RNA is filed under the name Elaeis guineensis (African oil palm). RNAcentral describes it as "long non-coding RNA (EGUI_LNC021868)". The record is from RNAcentral. Lineage: Eukaryota; Viridiplantae; Streptophyta; Magnoliopsida; Arecales; Arecaceae.